This 356-nucleotide transfer-messenger RNA is filed under the name Clostridiaceae. Its description in RNAcentral is "Clostridium_AA polynesiense Standard tmRNA". It matches the Rfam family "transfer-messenger RNA". From Rfam's summary of the family: Bacterial tmRNA, also known as 10Sa RNA or SsrA, is named for its dual tRNA and mRNA-like properties. RNAcentral also lists the same sequence under 1 other name. Lineage: Bacteria; Bacillati; Bacillota; Clostridia; Eubacteriales. The record is from RNAcentral.
GGGGGCGUACUGGUUUCGACGGGGGUAAGGAUGUCUGAGGAAGCGAGUGGAGGGAACUCUGGGCCCGCCUUAAAAAACUAGGGACUUAAAGAUAAACGCAGAAGACAAUUUUGCAUUAGCAGCUUAAUAUAGCUGUUCGUUCUACCCGGGAGGCCUACGGCCUGGGAUAGGGCGUCGAUUAGUAGGGAACCGCACUUUGGAAAGCUUUGACCAAAGGACGGAAUAAAUGAAGCUACUGAAGCAGGAAGCCUGUCCAUGGGCGUCCUGCUGAGGGAAUGUUAAAACAUGGUCUGCACUCGGAGAUGCCUCAUGCAUGUUACCUUCGGACACGGGUUCAAUUCCCGUCGCCUCCACCA